UACAGAGGGAGCAAGCGUUGUCCGGAAUUACUGGGUUUAAAGGGUGCGUAGGCGGCUCCAUAAGUGAGGGGUGAAAGCCUAUGGCUUAACGAUAGAAUUGACUUUGAUACUGGAAAGCUUGAAAGGGGUUGAGGUCAGCAGAAUGUGGCAUGUAGCGGUGAAAUGCAUAGAUAUGCCCUAGAACACCGAUUGCGAAGGCAGCUGGCUGGGCCUACUUUGACGCUGAGGCACGACAGCGUGGGGAGCGAACAGG
This 253-nucleotide ribosomal RNA is filed under the name uncultured bacterium. RNAcentral describes it as "partial 16S ribosomal RNA". It matches the Rfam family "Bacterial small subunit ribosomal RNA", at positions 524 to 776 of the family's 1533-position model. The record is from RNAcentral.